CCUAGGGUGGCUGCAGUAGGGAAUUUUGCGCAAUGGGCGAAAGCCUGACGCAGCAACGCCGCGUGAUUGAUUAAGCCCUUCGGGGUGUAAAGAUCUGUCAGUGGGGACGAAACUUGACGGUACCCACAGAGGAAGCACCGGCUAACUCCGUGCCAGCAGCCGCGGUAAUACGGAGGUCCGGGCGUUAUCCGGAUUUAUUGGGUUUAAAGGGAGCGUAGGCCGGCUUUUAAGUCAGCUGUGAAAGUCCGCGGCUCAACCGUGGAAUUGCAGUUGAAACUGGAGGCCUUGAGUGCACACAGGGAUGCCGGAAUUCAUGGUGUAGCGGUGAAAUGCUUAGAUAUCAUGAAGAACUCCGAGCGCGAAGGCAAGUGUCCGGGGUGCAACUGACGCUGAGGCUCGAAAGUGCGGGUAUCAAACAGGAUUAGAUACCCUUGUAGUC
This 439-nucleotide ribosomal RNA is filed under the name uncultured bacterium. RNAcentral's name for it is "partial 16S ribosomal RNA". It matches the Rfam family "Bacterial small subunit ribosomal RNA", at positions 338 to 795 of the family's 1533-position model. The record is from RNAcentral.